CUCUCUCUCUCUCUCUCUCUCUCUCAACAAUCUCACACAUACACACUCUGUCUCUCUCUCUCUCUACAUCGCACAUGGAACCAGACGAACAGCCGGAGGCUCUGUCCACGUGCCCUAGCUUCAACAGCUACUCUUCCGACGUGUUCGUCCUUAUCGCUGACAAAGACACCGAAGAGUCCAUUCCAGACGCCAAAUUAAUCGCCUCGAAGGACCUCGAUGAGGACGACGAUUUCGAAUUCGAUUUGGUAAGCGGUGAGGAGGUCUUGUGUGACGGGAGAAUUCGAGAGAUUUUUCCGGUUUUCAAUCGUGAUCUGCUGAUGCGUGAGGAUCGGAGUGGGGAUGGGAAGCCUGAUGUUUCGAAUCUGCGACUUUCGCUGAAGAAUUUGUUCAUGGGGGCGAGAGAGGACCGCGAUCCGCCGUCGUCGUCGUCGUCAUCGGAAGUAGAUGAAUUUGAAAGUAUACCUGAUGGAACGUACUGCGUUUGGAGGCCGAAAUUGGUGGAUGCCUCGCCGAGCAGAUGCAAGAAGAGCAAGUCGACCGGAUCAGCGUCGAAGCGGUGGAGGAUCCGAGAUUUUCUCCGGAGGAGCAACAGCGACGGGAAGGACUCGCUCGUGUUGCUGACUCCGAAGAACAAAGACCCAAAACCUGCCAACAGCGACGGGAAGGAUUCGCUUGUAAUGCUGACUCCGAAGAACAAAGACCCAAAACCAGCCAAGAUCCAUGAAAUUGAAAACACGAACGAGAGGCGAAUCUCUGUCGACGCCGGUGCCGGAAAGGCGAAGACGAAGGCAGCCGGCGAGAAGGUGUCGGCGUCGGCUCACGAAGUGUUCUACGUUCGGAAUCGAACGAUGAAGGAAGGCGAUAAGAGGAAAUCGUAUCUUCCGUACCGGCAAGACCUUGUAGGGUUUUUUGCGAAGGUCAACACAGUGGGGAAAACCUUCCCUCCGUUUUGAUUGUCUCCAUUUUUGCUAUGUUCUUUCAUUUCCUACAAAGUAUACAUGCAGAUACAUAAUAUAUACGAGCUCUGUUUUUUCGUUUUUCACUCAUUUUCAUUAAAUUCUUUUUGUUCUAAAUGAUGAUAUUAAAGUGUUGGUAAUGAUAAUUGAUGUUAAUAGAUGAUUCAUUGUGUCAAAAUGAACUUUUCUGCCUCUUUUUGGCUCAGAGGGUGUCUAUCCGUAUUUGUACAAGUGUAUUGACCUUAGCAUAUAAGGCUAGAGGAUGAGGAACUACUCUAUAAAUGUAUUUUUCAAACGAGGGUGAGAGAAAGAAAAUCGAGGAUAGACACUUGCGGUCGUUCUGUGGUGGUGCAAGUUGCUGUAGUCGGUCAUCAGUUAGCAAUGUAUGUAAUUGCGAAAAAAAGAAACAGUAAGAACGGCUGCCGGGACUAUUUCCGAGAAACGACUCUCCGAUGGUCAAGUUAAAUGAUUGAAAAGUGUAUGUAGAGAGAGAUAUUGUGUAUUUCUCCGCCCAAAGUUCGAGUACCUUUUAGAGAUAUAAAUACUAAAUUUAUAUGGCACGGCUCGACGCGUGCCCUUGACGUCCUAACUGUCUUGUCAUUGAACAUACUGCAGAUCGACGCAUGUUUGUACGUGCCGACCGUUGGGUCAGCCUAUGCCAGUGAGUAAGUGGUUGACCAACCACGCUCUUAAGGCCUAACUGGUAGCUUAUCAUCACGCUGCCGACGUUCCCAUUUGGGUAUGGGGGCUAUUAGAAGAAACUUCGACGUAUAAGUUACCUUCUGUGUUUUUUACAUCCCUCGGGAUUGUUGUCGGUCGUUACCCCUCGUCCAAGCUAUAGCACGAUUAUUCUUUCGAAUUUGCUAAACAGUGACAGCUCAAAAGUAACGAUGGCCUUAGCUCGGAUAAUGCCUGUGUUCGGUAGUAUCUGCACCGAGCUCUAACGCAGAAGACCGCCGAGCUUGUUCCAUAGAGACAACUCGGUGGAGACCUCUGCCCUAGCAAAGUUAGAGUCUGUUAUUGUAUAUUUUGUCCCCUUACAAAGGGUUUGGUUAAAUAUUGGACAUUACAACGAAUGGUAUUCUUUUAGGUAAUUCACCCGCUUCGUUGAUCUGAGCCAUUUACAUUUUAG
RNAcentral lists this long non-coding RNA (2088 nucleotides) under Actinidia chinensis (golden kiwifruit). Its description in RNAcentral is "long non-coding RNA (ACHI_LNC007827)". The record is from RNAcentral. Lineage: Eukaryota; Viridiplantae; Streptophyta; Magnoliopsida; Ericales; Actinidiaceae.